Molecule: long non-coding RNA, 175 nt
Organism: Octopus sinensis (East Asian common octopus)
Lineage: Eukaryota; Metazoa; Mollusca; Cephalopoda; Octopoda; Octopodidae
Exons: 3
Source: RefSeq, a predicted model, not a curated record
GAGCAGAAGAAAAUUCUAACUGGGCCCCACCUGCAAGGUGAUGUGCUGUUUAUCUUGAUAUGAGAUCACCAUGUCUCGCACAUAUGGUUGUGAUGCAUGUGCCUGGUGUACCCUUAUCAGACGGGUAGUCAUGAGGGGUAUAUUGGUCUUCGUAUAUUUACCCACCCCAUCUUCA